Molecule: long non-coding RNA, 1459 nt
Organism: Amphiprion ocellaris (clown anemonefish)
Lineage: Eukaryota; Metazoa; Chordata; Actinopteri; Pomacentridae
Exons: 5
Source: RefSeq, a predicted model, not a curated record
GAUGGCAACUGCCACCCCUAGAAGAUGCCUUGCCACCCCUCCUGCCAUCCCAGUUCUGAACGAUCUAAUUCAAAAAUAUGUAUAUGAAAGGUUGUGGCCGGCCGUAAAGAGCGAAAGUCCAGGAAAGACGAAUAACGAGUGAAACUCCGAUGUCCGAGUGCUUUCGAACGCACCAUGCAGACGUCACGUCCUGAACAGUCUAUGCCGCUACAGAUACGAGGUGACACGCCCCCCUGAGGGACCUCACUCAUGUGGAUGACAGCUGGACUUCGGUGUGGCGGAGACAGUAAAGAAUGAAGAGGAAGGGAACCACCAGCAGCUUUUCCCAGCCUAAAAGAAGAGAGGAGGAAGAACAUCCCAGAGAGGAGAUGGAGGAGGAAGAGUUCAGAGAAAGAUAUGAAGGCAUGCAGAGCUCAGACAGAGAAAGGAGAGCAGCUUCCUCCCUGGAACAUGGAAAUGAAGCGUCGGCGACAAAAACGUGAAACAGAACGACAAAAGAUCAGCCAGGAGUUUGGAGGAGUCGGGUCCCAUUGAGAUGUGAUGGUCGGAGCUUCAACACUGACGUCUCAGUCUCUGAAGGAUUUAAAGCACUGACAGUCAAGAAGCCAUUACAGCUCACUGAGAGGACGACCAGCAAAUUGGUUAGCUCGCAGCAGCAGUAAAUAAGAUGGAGGGGACCCAUGUUUUCCACCUUGUCAAUAACUGGCCUUAGUGCGGCAAAGGCGUCUUCAGUCGGAAUUUAAAGUCGGUGGCGAGUCAGGAGCAGAGGAAAGAAGAAGCUGAAGAGAGACUUCAGGUUGGAGAGAGCACAAAGAGAAUGUUUGAUCUGAGGUGGCAGCUGGAAGUUAUAUUCCAGACAUGAACUCAUGAGGAGAAUCCACUCAGAAGCUCAAUCAGACUAAAUGGUUCUCAUGCGCGAGUGUUGUCUUCACGGAGAAUAUUAAAUCAAUUCUAAAAAUACAAGCUUUGACCUUUAAGAGAAGCUAAAAACUCCAAAUCCGACCCAGACUAUUUGUCUUAUUUUUAGUCAAAAUGUCUCAUCCCACUUGAUUUAAGAUAAAUUCGCUUAACAAGAGACAUUUAAGCAGAUGGAGGGACUUGUUUUAAGACAAUGCAUCUUAAAUAUCUUGUUAAGUCAAACAAUCUUGAAAUGAUCUUGUUUUGAGUUGAAUUUUACAAGAAAACUCAAAAUAAGUUUAACCCUCGUGUCGUCCUGUGGGUCAAAUUGACCUGUUUUAAAGUUUGAAAAUGUGGAAAAAAAUAUAUUUUCACAGUGAAACUUCUGAUGUCCACAUUUUCAACAUUUUUGGAAAAUUUUUGAACAUUUUUUGGUGGAAAACAAGAAAUGUUAAAAAUGUUUCUUAAGAACAUUCACAUAAAAAUCAACAAAAAUCCAGUUAAUUUUGCUGGACUUUGGUUGAUUUUUUGUGAAUGUUCUUAAGAAAAUAUUAGAAGUUUU